UGGGGAAUAUUGCACAAUGGGGGGAAACCCUGAUGCAGCGAUGCCGCGUGGAGGAAGAAGGUUUUUCGGAUUGUAAACUCCUGUUGAAGAGGACGAUAAUGACGGUACUCUUUUAGAAAGCUCCGGCUAACUACGUGCCAGCAGCCGCGGUAAUACGUAGGGAGCGAGCGUUGUCCGGAAUUACUGGGUGUAAAGGGAGCGUAGGCGGGAUGGCAAGUCAGAUGUGAAAACUAUGGGCUCAACCCAUAGACUGCAUUUGAAACUGUUGUUCUUGAGCGAGGUAGAGGUAAGCGGAAUUCCUGGUGUAGCGGUGAAAUGCGUAGAGAUCAGGAGGAACA
RNAcentral lists this ribosomal RNA (338 nucleotides) under uncultured Ruminococcus sp. Its description in RNAcentral is "bacterial SSU rRNA". It matches the Rfam family "Bacterial small subunit ribosomal RNA", at positions 355 to 708 of the family's 1533-position model. Lineage: Bacteria; Bacillati; Bacillota; Clostridia; Eubacteriales; Oscillospiraceae. The record is from RNAcentral.